This 2430-nucleotide long non-coding RNA is filed under the name Triticum aestivum (bread wheat). Its description in RNAcentral is "long non-coding RNA (TAES_LNC018139)". The record is from RNAcentral. Lineage: Eukaryota; Viridiplantae; Streptophyta; Magnoliopsida; Poales; Poaceae.
UUCGUUUUGGCAUUUACUAUAUUGUCUCUAAGUUUUUCAGGCUUUGCACAUAUGCAAAUGUACUAGCAGUACGGAGUUAGAUAAGGUUGCAUCUAACUAAACUUGUUUUCUGACUGCAGGAUUUAUUAAUCAACAACAACAUAAGCUCGGUGGAGAUGUCGAAUGGUAACUUCGCAAUCAACAACAACAUGAGCUCGGUGGAGAUGCCAAAUGGUAACUUCGCAAUCAACAACAACACAAGCUCAGUGGAGAUGCUGAAUGGUAACUUCGCACUUGGUAGUGCUUCAAGCAUUGGUGCUGCAAUGCCUGACCUUCAGAUGGGCAUUUCUGCCGCGCCAACUCAGAUGCUGAAUGAUGGUGGUGCAGGCGGCAUUCUCCCUGCGCAAGCACAAGGCACAGCUAAUCAGGAAGCUGUUGAUGGUCAACUGAAUAUCGACAGUGAUGAUUUCUGGGAAGCUGUUAAUAAUUGUUUUUUGAUGGAUGACAUUUCUACCAGGAACAACAUGCUUAAUGAAGUAAGAAGCUUUCUCAUUCUUUUGCUGCAUGAUGCCUGCCCAUUUUAUCUUGUCUCUAAGUUUUUCAGGCUUUGCACAUAUAUAAAUGUACUAGCAGUACGGACUUAGAUAAGGUUGCAUCUAACUAAACUUAUUUUCUGACUGCAGGAUUUAUUAAUCAACGAUGUUAAUAUCUUGGGUGAAGAGCUGUAGUUAGGUCGUUAGCCCCUAACUUCCAGAGAGAUGCUCCUCUACCUGCCGAUUCUUGCACAUUCUGUGUGUGAAAUUGUGCUAGUCAGAAGGAGUUUAGUUUUAUCUGUUAUCUUUUGGGAUCAUAAAUAAGGUUAUCCUAUAUGUUAGGCAGAACCAGUUUCUAUGUAUGAUUUCAGUUAGCAGAUGGCAUGGCAUCUGCCUGUACUGUAGUCAUGGAGUUCAGUUUUACAUCACAUUUAACUUUUACUCGGUGGUUGUCUUUUGGGAUCGGAAACAAGGUUGUGUUAUGUUUGGUCGAACCAAUUUUAAUCUAUGAUUUAGACUAUCAAAUGGAAUGUCUUCUAUAAAUUAUCUGUAAUGAUGUGUGGCUUUAAUUUGUAUCACUGCAAUGCUGCUCUUUCCAUGGAUAAGUGCCACACGUGUGGCACGAAGCAAUUCCGCCCUGAUAUUUUUUUAUGGCAACUUUAAUUACCCGGGGAUGGCAACUUUAGUUGUGAAGCAUGGCAGAAGUUUGGAUGGCAAGUUUCAGUUUUUUUAGGGUUUCGGUUUUUUUUUCGGAUGGCAUUUUUAGUUGUAAAAACGUCAGGGCGGUGUUACUUCGUGCCACACGUGUGACACUUAUCAUUUGGGUUUGUUUAUUGCGGCCUUAAACUGAGUACCGAACCGAAGAAAUAUUCCAGUUUCAGAAAUAGAAGCACUUCUACUUUUUUUCUAAUUGUCGUGUGAGCGUGACUCUUUAAGACUUUUCCUUGUCCGAGGCAGCAAUGGCGUCUUCUUACUCUGACAUCUGAUCCGUCUAAUGUAUCCCUAGUCACCACUCAUCCUUGCUGUCUGAUUCCAUCGGUCUCCCUCGGCUCUGGCGGCCAAUUACGGCACCGAGAGUCACGAGAGACCAUGGAUUGCGCCCUCAUGGGAAGCCUUGGUUUAGGUUAUUAGGUUUGGUGUCCUUAUGUCGUCCAUCAAAACAGUGGAGGCGACAGCACAAUGGAGCAAGUCCAUUGUUGGCUUCGGUGCAACCUCGGGGCACGUGAGGAUUGGUUUCCCAAAUCAGUUCCGGCAGAUAAUGGGGUGGAGGGGCAGGGAGGAGGAGUCAACCUCGAUGCUUCCGCCUCGGCUCGAGGUGACGCCGAUUGUCAUGUCAAUAAGAUCUUUAGAUGACACUUCCAGCGUCGAUGUGGGGUUGGUUCUCUCAUCAUGUCUCCGCCUUCUUCUCUAGGAUGACUAUUCGUGCUUCGGAACGUCAUCAUUGGCAUCUCCUGGCAAUAUAUGAUGAUUUCCUAGGGAAAGUUACAAUGACUCUCUGGUUUCAGCGACAAAGGGCAUGUGCGGAUCAAGCUACGCCCAUGACAUGCCGUUGGAUUGUGCAGGUCAAAGAUGGUGAUGAACUCCCCUUGGGCAUGUUUAUAAAUUUCUUUGUCAAGGGUGUUCUUGUAAAGCUUGGACUUGUUUAAUAUAUAUGUAUUCUAGUAUUUGCAAGAAAAGAACAAUCAUAAUCAAACAUGCAAGGUCCCAAAGUGGGGCUAUAGUUAAACAUUAAAAGAAUAGAAAUGCAAGAAAUCGAACCACUUAGGAGAAGACAGAGCACAUAUCAUCCCUCAUGAGCAAGCUAAGUUCCAAAAUUAAUUUCCGGACGGGUCUAAUCACAACAGAGGAUAAUGAGGUGAUGUAAUGGUGAUGGAGAACAUACCAAGUCCAAAAGGUAUUGCAACCAAAUCAUGAAAAA